CCCUUAGAUGUUCUGGGCCGCACGCGCGCUACACUGAUGAAUUCAACGAGUUUAUAACCUUGGUUGAGAAGCCUGGGUAAUCUUUUGAACGUUCAUCGUGAUGGGGAUAGAUUAUUGCAAUUAUUAAUCUUCAACGAGGAAUUCCUAGUAAACGCAAGUCAUCAGCUUGCAUUGAUUACGUCCCUGCCCUUUGUACACACCGCCCGUCGCUCCUACCGAUUGAGUGGUCCGGUGAGGCUUUGGGAUCUGAGCGGAAAGAGCGUUUCGCUGUUUCUGCUCGGAAAACUCAGUCGAACCUUAUCAUUUAGAGGAAGGAGAAGUCGUAACA
Molecule: ribosomal RNA, 328 nt
Filed under: uncultured eukaryote
Lineage: Eukaryota
Description: partial 18S ribosomal RNA
Rfam family: Eukaryotic small subunit ribosomal RNA
Source: RNAcentral